This 927-nucleotide ribosomal RNA is filed under the name Haloferax volcanii. RNAcentral describes it as "bacterial SSU rRNA". It matches the Rfam family "Archaeal small subunit ribosomal RNA", at positions 1 to 923 of the family's 1478-position model. The record is from RNAcentral. Lineage: Archaea; Methanobacteriati; Methanobacteriota; Halobacteria; Halobacteriales; Haloferacaceae.
UUUCCUGUGGUUGGUGUGAUUGCGGAGGUCAUUGCUAUUGGGGUCCGAUUUAGCCAUGCUAGUUGCACGAGUUCAUACUCGUGGCGAAAAGCUCAGUAACACGUGGCCAAAUUACCCUACAGAGAACGAUAACCUCGGGAAACUGAGGCUAAUAGUUCAUACGGGAGUCAUGCUGGAAUGCCGACUCCCCGAAACGCUCAGGCGCUGUAGGAUGUGGCUGCGGCCGAUUAGGUAGACGGUGGGGUAACGGCCCACCGUGCCGAUAAUCGGUACGGGUUGUGAGAGCAAGAGCCCGGAGACGGAAUCUGAGACAAGAUUCCGGGCCCUACGGGGCGCAGCAGGCGCGAAACCUUUACACUGCACGCAAGUGCGAUAAGGGGACCCCAAGUGCGAGGGCAUAUAGUCCUCGCUUUUCACGACUGUAAGGCGGUCGUGGAAUAAGAGCUGGGCAAGACCGGUGCCAGCCGCCGCGGUAAUACCGGCAGCUCAAGUGAUGACCGAUAUUAUUGGGCCUAAAGCGUCCGUAGCCGGCCACGAAGGUUCAUCGGGAAAUCCGCCAGCUCAACUGGCGGGCGUCCGGUGAAAACCACGUGGCUUGGGACCGGAAGGCUCGAGGGGUACGUCCGGGGUAGGAGUGAAAUCCCGUAAUCCUGGACGGACCACCGAUGGCGAAAGCACCUCGAGAAGACGGAUCCGACGGUGAGGGACGAAAGCUAGGGUCUCGAACCGGAUUAGAUACCCGGGUAGUCCUAGCUGUAAACGAUGCUCGCUAGGUGUGGCACAGGCUACGAGCCUGUGCUGUGCCGUAGGGAAGCCGAGAAGCGAGCCGCCUGGGAAGUACGUCCGCAAGGAUGAAACUGAAAGGAAUUGGCGGGGGGAGCACUACAACCGGAGGAGCCUGCGGUUUAAUUGAUCACCCCCCCGGAA